Molecule: transfer RNA, 23 nt
Filed under: Fragaria moschata
Lineage: Eukaryota; Viridiplantae; Streptophyta; Magnoliopsida; Rosales; Rosaceae
Description: partial tRNA-Gly
Source: RNAcentral
GCGGGAAUAGUUNAGUGGUAAAA